Molecule: ribosomal RNA, 252 nt
Filed under: uncultured bacterium
Lineage: Bacteria
Description: partial 16S ribosomal RNA
Rfam family: Bacterial small subunit ribosomal RNA
Source: RNAcentral
UACGUAGGGUGCAGGCGUUAAUCGGAAUUACUGGGCGUAAAGCGUGCGCAGGCGGUCUGCUAAGAGAGAUGUGAAAUCCCCGGGCUUAACCUGGGAACUGCGUUUCUAACUGGCAGGCUAGAGUGUGGCAGAGGGGGGUGGAAUUCCACGUGUAGCAGUGAAAUGCGUAGAGAUGUGGAGGAACACCGAUGGCGAAGGCAGCCCCCUGGGCUAACACUGACGCUCAUGCACGAAAGCGUGGGAGCAAACAGG